Long non-coding RNA from Cydia fagiglandana, 1498 nucleotides. RefSeq lists it as uncharacterized. NCBI's taxonomy places the organism in Eukaryota, Metazoa, Arthropoda, Insecta, Lepidoptera, Tortricidae. The transcript has 2 exons. The record is from RefSeq and is a predicted model, not a curated record.
ACAAUUGUAUUAGCAGCGCUUACCUCCGACUCAUUGACGACAAAAUUACGCCGCGAAUGCUUUUGAAUCAGCACUUGUGCAGACGACAUGCUCGCGAAGUAGGUAUCUUCGAAGAGAGCCCACUCCUCUCUGAUAUCCCCUUCGCUUGUAGACGCAGACAACAUCUCGAUAUCCGUCUGUAAUGCAUCGAAUUCAUCGUAUAUAGGCACUGUAUUGUCGAAUCUUAAUUGUAACUCGGCAAGCUGCAAAUCACUUAAUUGCGGUUUGGCUGCUAGAUUCGAAACGAACUUUUGAAAUGUAAUAAGUUUGCCUUUAAUAACCCCGCGCUUGUAAUUUAGUUUCCUUAAAUCUUGUUCAUUAGACAUUGUGAAUAAAGGUAUAAAGUAACAACCCUACUCAAAUAAAAUAGCAAUAAUAUGAAUUUAAACAAAAUUUGCUCUGCGAAAUUGCCAGGCGUUUAAUCUUAAUGCAAUAUGGAUCGGAGGUGCAAUAAAAUUAUGUAAUCACUUAAUUACCUUGUUUACUUCCUCCCGGCACAAUGCAGUUUGCUAUAGAAAUCGAUUGACUAACGUGUUCACGUGCGGUUAUUUUAGUUUUAAAUUGAAAUUAAGCUAGUGAAAUGUUUAAUUAAUUACUAUUUUGAUUAAUGUACAGUUAGGUAUCAAGUUUGAAGUGAAAUUGUGAAAUUAAAUCUUAUGUAUUACUAUGAACUGUGUUAUGAGGUUAUAUCUGCCUACAAUUAUGAAUACCGUUAAUGAAUACUAUUGAAUUGAAUAUCUACUUGCUAAACUGAAUCAAAUAAUGGCAAUGAAGACUAUGAAUCUACUUUCUGCACUAGAUGGAAAAUUGAUCCCCACUGGAUGCUCCUGGACUGGUCUGGUUGGUGCUGGAUGGGCUGAAUUCCGUAACUGACUCCUGGUUACGGCUGGAUUCCCUCUGAAAUGGGAUGCUCCGUGUGUCCGUCGCUGCUUUGUCCUGACUGAUGGGACGCAAUGAAUAUCAGCUCUGGAACUUGCACGUAGCUGGAUGUGCCCUGCGCCAACCUGGAUGACCCACGGCUUCACUGGAGAAGGUCCGUUGAAUAGAUGGAGCUCGACUCGAUGCCACAAUCUUGCCUUCUCGCAAUUCAGAGGCUUCGUAAGGACCAUGUAAAAUCUUCGCUGGUCUCAGGUGUUGUAAAGGUGGUGAAAUAAUAAGUGGACUGUAGUAUAACGCUGGUUUACUCUCAAAAUGACAAAAAUACAAAAAGUGGCAAAGUGGAGUGUCGUUGGGAUUCAAGAGAUGACAAAGUAAGUUUUUGAAAGCUCUAUAACUGUCUAACUGUCAAAGCUUUGAAUAUAAAAAUUGCCAUAGUUAAAUUUGAAACAUAGAGAGAUUGAAUUAAGAUUGGAGUUAUACAUUUCAUUGAAUAUUUUAAUUAAAAAAUAGACAAUUUGAAUAACAUUAAUAAUUAUGAUUAUUUGUUUACAUAAAAUUAAAUUAUAUUAAAAAUUGUGAA